GAUCCUGGCUCAGAUCGAACGCUGGCGGCGUGGCUAAAACAUGCAAGUCGUACGCGAAAGUUUUCUUCGGAGAACGAGUAGAGUGGCGGCAGGGCGAGUAAUGCAUGGGUAACGUGCCUUGAGCUUAGGGAUAGCUGUGGGAAACUGCAGGUAAUACCCAAUAAGACCACAGUACCUUAUGGUACAGCGGUCAAAGGUGGGGAUCUCUUCGGAGACCUUCUGGCUCGAGAGCGGCCCAUGUCCUAUCAGCUUGUUGGUGAGGUAAUGGCUCACCAAGGCUUCGACGGGUACCGGGACUGAGAGGUUGACCCGGCGCAUUGGGACUGAGACACGGCCCAGACUCCUACGGGAGGCAGCAGUGGGGAAUAUUGGACAAUGGGGGCAACCCUGAUCCAGCAAUGCCGCGUGUGUGAAGAAGGCCUGCGGGUUGUAAAGCACUUUCAGUGGGGAAGAUGGGCUGCGUGUAACGAGUCUCGGCGUUGAGGAAUCCCAGAGGAAGCCACGGCUAACUUCGUGCCAGCAGCCGCGGUAAUACGAAGGUGGCAAGCGUUGUUCGGAAUCAUUGGGCUUAAAGCGUAUGUAGGCGGUCUGUCAAGCGUCUUGUGAAAUCCCUCGGCUCAACCGAGGAAUUGCUCGGCGAACUGGCAGACUUGAGGCAAGUAGGGGUGUGUGGAACUCUUGGUGGAGCGGUGGAAUGCGUAGAUAUCAAGAGGAACGCCGGUGGCGAAGGCGACACACUGGGCUUGUCCUGACGCUGAGAUACGAAAGCUAGGGUAGCGAACGGGAUUAGAUACCCCGGUAGUCCUAGCCCUAAACGAUGUCAACUAGGUCGGAGGUUCUCUGACGGAGUUCCGGCCGAAGCAAAAGUGUUAAGUUGACCGCCUGGGGAGUACGGUCGCAAGGCUAAAACUCAAAGGAAUUGACGGGGGCUCACACAAGCGGUGGAGCAUGUUGCUUAAUUCGAUUCAACGCGAAGAACCUUAUCCUGGGCUUGACAUACUUGGAUGCCUCCUGUGAAAGCAGGUCGGUUGCUCUUCGGAGUGAAACUUGUACAGGUGCUGCAUGGCUGUCGUCAGCUCGUGUCGUGAGAUGUUGGGUUAAGUCCCGUAACGAGCGAAACCCUUGUCGUUAGUUGCCAGCGGGUCAUGCCGGGGACUCUAGCGAGACUGCCGGUGUUAAACCGGAGGAAGGUGGGGAUGACGUCAAGUCCUCAUGGCCUUUUAUGCCCAGGGCCGCAAACGUGCUACAAUGGCUGGUACAAACCGACGCAAGACCGCGAGGUGGAGCAAAUCGGAAAAAGCCCGCCCCAGUUCGGAUUGUAGUCUGCAACUCGACUACAUGAAGGUGGAAUCGCUAGUAAUCGUAGAUCAGCUAUGCUACGGUGAAUGUGUUCCUGAGCCUUGUACACACCGCCCGUCAAGUCAUGGAAGCUGGUAGCGCCCGAAGUCGCCACAUU
This 1456-nucleotide ribosomal RNA is filed under the name metagenome. Its description in RNAcentral is "bacterial SSU rRNA". It matches the Rfam family "Bacterial small subunit ribosomal RNA". The record is from RNAcentral.